Oryzias melastigma (Indian medaka) is the source of this 1147-nucleotide long non-coding RNA. RefSeq lists it as uncharacterized. The record is from RefSeq and is a predicted model, not a curated record. The transcript is spliced from 2 exons. NCBI's taxonomy places the organism in Eukaryota, Metazoa, Chordata, Actinopteri, Beloniformes, Adrianichthyidae.
CCUCCACCCUGCAGUGGGACAGAGACAGAGACUGAUCGUCUAUCAAACACACAAAACCAAAGUUCUUGAAUGAAUGUUUCUGGAGAUAACUGGAGAAAAAUGAGCAGAAAUGUUGAAGUUGGAUGAUCCCAGACUUUUGGCUCCUGGAUUAGAGUUUCUGGUUAUUCUGGGGCUUCAGUGAAGGUCAGUUCAGAAUAGACGCUGUAUUUUAAGGUUUGUAACACUAUUUAUUUUGGUCGAAUUACGUAAUGAUUUUAAACACAGACGCUUUCAGCAAACUCCAGUCUCUCUGGUAACGUUCUCACCAAACAGUUUCUUCACAUUUUUAAAGAUUUGAUCUUCAAGUUUUACAGACAAAUAUGACGACAAAUGACUCAAAUGUGUUCAAAAGUGAAGCAUCUGCAGUGUAGUUGGUUGUUGGGUGAAGACAUUUAUUGAAAUGACAACAGAAACUUCCCGAUGACCCUGUUCUGAAGUUAGCAUCCUUUGUUCUGAAAACAUGAACUCAAACGGAUCCAAACGAGUUUGAACGGCAGCUACAGGUAACAUCCUCACCUGUAAUCUCUGUGUUAAUCUCUCUGUGAGCUCCCAACAGACCCUUCGUCCUUCAUCCACCGACAUUUCUGGAUCCUCAGUCAAAGCUAGAAAAUCUAUGGGGAAAGGUAACCGAACUCAACAAACAGGAAAGGGAUAAGAAUGAAAGUCAUGAAGACGUGGAAAGAGAGUUCUGUAGAAACUAAACCACAGUCAGAACCAUUUCUGCCGGAUAAAUCCUCAGAGAUUUAAAUAAACAACGUGAGCUGUGAUUCAGAAAUCUGUGGUUGGAGGUUUGAUGAUUCACAAUGAGGACACGCCUGAAGAAACGUGGUUGAGAUGUCAGAAAAAAGUAGUUUUUUGAGCCAAAAUAUCUGCUUACAAAACACCAAACAGCUCAGAGACACGCCUCCAAACUUCUGGACCAUGAGACUAAGAUGGAACCACAAACAAAAACAUCUGGAUUGGAGUCGACAAGAUGAGAACACUGAAACACGGAGGUGAAUCAUUAUGAUCUUAAGGGUUAAACUGCUUUAAUCCAGGGCUCUGCAACCUGAGGAUGUUCGGCUUUAAAGAAAAAGUGAAAACAAUUUGAAUAAAUGAUGAAUUCGAA